GACGAACGCUUGCGGCGUGCUUAACACAUGCAAGUCGAACGGUAAGGCUCCAGCUUGCUGGGGUACACGAGUGGCGAACGGGUGAGUAACACGUGGGUGACCUGCCCUGCACUUCGGGAUAAGCCUGGGAAACUGGGUCUAAUACCGGAUAGGACCGCACCGUGAGGGUGUGGUGGAAAGUUUUUUCGGUGUGGGAUGGGCCCGCGGCCUAUCAGCUUGUUGGUGGGGUAAUGGCCUACCAAGGCGGCGACGGGUAGCCGGCCUGAGGGGGUGGACGGCCGCAUUGGGACUGAGACACGGCCCAGACUCCUACGGGAGGCAGCAGUGGGGAAUAUUGCACAAUGGGCGGAAGCCUGAUGCAGCGACGCCGCGUGGGGGAUGACGGCCUUCGGGUUGUAAACUCCUUUCACCAUCGACGAAGGGUUUCUGACGGUAGAUGGAGAAGAAGCACCGGCUAACUACGCGCCAGCAGCCGCGGUAAUACGUAGGGUGCGAGCGUUGUCCGGAAUUACUGGGCGUAAAGAGCUCGUAGGUGGUUUGUCGCGUCGUCUGUGAAAUUCCGGGGCUUAACUCCGGGCGUGCAGGCGAUACGGGCAUAACUUGAGUACUGUAGGGGAGACUGGAAUUCCUGGUGUAGCGGUGAAAUGCGCAGAUAUCAGGAGGAACACCGGUGGCGAAGGCGGGUCUCUGGGCAGUAACUGACGCUGAGGAGCGAAAGCAUGGGGAGCGAACAGGAUUAGAUACCCUGGUAGUCCAUGCCGUAAACGGUGGGCGCUAGGUGUGGGUUUCCUUCCACGGGAUCCGUGCCGUAGCUAACGCAUUAAGCGCCCCGCCUGGGGAGUACGGCCGCAAGGCUAAAACUCAAAGGAAUUGACGGGGGCCCGCACAAGCGGCGGAGCAUGUGGAUUAAUUCGAUGCAACGCGAAGAACCUUACCUGGGCUUGACAUAUACAGGAUCGCGCCAGAGAUGGUGUUUCCCUUGUGGCUUGUAUACAGGUGGUGCAUGGUUGUCGUCAGCUCGUGUCGUGAGAUGUUGGGUUAAGUCCCGCAACGAGCGCAACCCUUGUCUUAUGUUGCCAGCACGUUGUGGUGGGGACUCGUAAGAAACUGCCGGGGUUAACUCGGAGGAAGGUGGGGAUGACGUCAAAUCAUCAUGCCCCUUAUGCCCAGGGCUUCACACAUGCUACAAUGGUCGGUACAGUGGGUUGCCAGUCCGUGAGGGCGAGCUAAUCCCGCAAAGCCGGUCUCAGUUCGGAUCGGGGUCUGCAACUCGACCCCGUGAAGUCGGAGUCGCUAGUAAUCGCAGAUCAGCAACGCUGCGGUGAAUACGUUCCCGGGCCU
This 1341-nucleotide ribosomal RNA is filed under the name uncultured bacterium. RNAcentral's name for it is "partial 16S ribosomal RNA". It matches the Rfam family "Bacterial small subunit ribosomal RNA", at positions 28 to 1381 of the family's 1533-position model. The record is from RNAcentral.